Molecule: ribosomal RNA, 796 nt
Filed under: uncultured archaeon
Lineage: Archaea
Description: bacterial SSU rRNA
Rfam family: Archaeal small subunit ribosomal RNA
Source: RNAcentral
ACUGCUCAGUAACACGUGGAUAACCUGCCCUUGGGUCCGGCAUAACCCCGGGAAACUGGGGAUAAUUCCGGAUAACGCAUAUGUGCUGGAAUGCUUUAUGCGUCAAAUGGAUUCGUCUGCCCAAGGAUGGGUCUGCGGCCUAUCAGGUAGUAGUGGGUGUAAUGUACCUACUAGCCGACAACGGGUACGGGUUGUGAGAGCAAGAGCCCGGAGAUGGAUUCUGAGACAUGAAUCCAGGCCCUACGGGGCGCAGCAGGCGCGAAAACUUUACAAUGCGGGAAACCGUGAUAAGGGGACACCGAGUGUCAGCAUCAUAUGCUGGCUGUCCAGGUGUGUAAAAUACACCUGUUAGCAAGGGCCGGGCAAGACCGGUGCCAGCCGCCGCGGUAACACCGGCGGCCCGAGUGGUGAUCGUGAUUAUUGGGUCUAAAGGGUCCGUAGCCGGUUUGGUCAGUCCUCCGGGAAAUCUGAUAGCUCAACUAUUAGGCUAUCGGGGGAUACUGCCAGACUUGGAACCGGGAGAGGUAAGAGGUACUACAGGGGUAGGAGUGAAAUCUUGUAAUCCCUGUGGGACCACCUGUGGCGAAGGCGUCUUACCAGAACGGGUUCGACGGUGAGGGACGAAAGCUGGGGGCACGAACCGGAUUAGAUACCCGGGUAGUCCCAGCCGUAAACGAUGCUCGCUAGGUGUCAGGCAUGGCGCGACCGUGUCUGGUGCCGCAGGGAAGCCGUGAAGCGAGCCACCUGGGAAGUACGGCCGCAAGGCUGAAACUUAAAGGAAUUGGCGGGGGAGCAC